AGCGACGCCGCGUGAGCGAUGAAGGCCUUCGGGGUCGUAAAGCUCUGUCGUAUGGGAAUAAACAAAUGAAUGUACCAUGCAAGAAAGGAUCGGCUAACUUCGUGCCAGCAGCCGCGGUAAGACGAGGGAUCCUAGCGUUGUUCGGAAUCAUUGGGCGUAAAGCGGGCGUAGGUGGCUAUUUAAGUCAGUUGUGAAAGCCUGGGGCUCAACCCCAGAAGUGCAAUUGAUACUAUUUAGCUUGAGUGUGGAAAAGGUAACUAGAAUUCCUGGUGUAGUGGUAAAAUACGUAGAUAUCAGGAGGAAUGCCGGUUGCGAAGGCGGGUUACUAGUCCAACACUGACACUGAGGCCCGAAAGCGUGGGGAUCAAACAGGAUUAGAUACCCUGGUAGUCCACGCCAUAAACGAUGAAUACUCGUUGUUGGAGGUAUUGACCCCUUCAGUGACUAAGCUAACGCGUUAAGUAUUCCGCCUGGGAAGUACGGUCGCAAGAUUAAAACUCAAAGAAAUUGACGGG
RNAcentral lists this ribosomal RNA (515 nucleotides) under uncultured bacterium. RNAcentral's name for it is "bacterial SSU rRNA". It matches the Rfam family "Bacterial small subunit ribosomal RNA", at positions 390 to 917 of the family's 1533-position model. The record is from RNAcentral.